GCCUGCUUGGCUCAGCUGGUAGAUCACGGGACUCUUGAUCUCAGGGUUAUGGGCUCGAGCCCCACAGUGGGUG
Molecule: transfer RNA, 73 nt
Filed under: Felis catus (domestic cat)
Lineage: Eukaryota; Metazoa; Chordata; Mammalia; Carnivora; Felidae
Rfam family: tRNA
About the family: Transfer RNA (tRNA) molecules are approximately 80 nucleotides in length.
Source: Rfam by way of RNAcentral